Molecule: transfer RNA, 76 nt
Filed under: Actinobacteria bacterium RBG_16_64_13
Lineage: Bacteria; Bacillati; Actinomycetota
Also listed under: 3 other names
Description: tRNA-Ala
Rfam family: tRNA
About the family: Transfer RNA (tRNA) molecules are approximately 80 nucleotides in length. Their secondary structure includes four short double-helical elements and three loops (D, anti-codon, and T loops).
Source: RNAcentral
GGGGGUAUAGCUCAGUUGGGAGAGCGCGACGCUGGCAGCGUUGAGGCCAGGGGUUCGAGUCCCCUUACCUCCACCA